RNAcentral lists this ribosomal RNA (494 nucleotides) under uncultured bacterium. RNAcentral describes it as "partial 16S ribosomal RNA". It matches the Rfam family "Bacterial small subunit ribosomal RNA", at positions 28 to 507 of the family's 1533-position model. The record is from RNAcentral.
GACGAACGCUGGCGGCGCGCUUAACACAUGCAAGUCGAACGGAAAGGCCUGCUUUCCCUUGUGGAUUGCGGGUACUCGAGUGGCGAACGGGUGAGUAACACGUGAGUGAUCUGCCCCCAACUUGGGUAUAAGCCUGGGAAACUGGGUCUAAUUCCCGAUAGGACUGCAGGGUGGUGCCUGUGGUGGAAAACGAUUUUCUAGUGGUUGGGGAUGAGCUCGCAGCCUAUCAGCUUGUUGGUGGGGUAAUGGCCUACCAAGGCGGCGACGGGUAGCCGGCCUGGGAGGGUGGACGGCCGAAUUGGGACUGAGAUACGGCCCAGACUCCUACGGGAGGCAGCAGUGGGGAAUAUUGCACGAUGGGCGGAAGCCUGAUGCAGCGACGCCGCGUGGGGGAUGACGGCCUUCGGGUUGUAAACUCCUUUCGACCGCGAGGAAGCCACCUGGUUGGAAGGGUGGUGACGGUAGUGGUAGAAGAAGCACCGGCUAACUACGUG